GAUGAAGAACGUAGCGAAAUGCGAUAAGUAAUGUGAAUUGCAGAAUUCAGUGAAUCAUCGAAUCUUUGAACGCACAUUGCGCCCGCCAGUAUUCUGGCGGGCAUGCCUGUCCGAGCGUCAUUUCAACCAUCAAGCCCCCGGGCUUGUGUUGGGGACCUGCGGCUGCCCGCAGGCCCUGAAAACCAGUGGCGGGCUCGCUGUCACACCGAGCGUAGUAGCAAUCACCUCGCUCAGGGCGUGCUGCAGGUUCCGGCCGUUAAACAGCCUUACAAAACCCAAGGUUGACCUCGGAUCAGGUAGGAAGACCCGCUGAACUUAAGCAUAUCAAUAAGCGGAGGA
RNAcentral lists this unclassified non-coding RNA (339 nucleotides) under soil metagenome. RNAcentral describes it as "partial contains 5.8S ribosomal RNA, internal transcribed spacer 2, and large subunit ribosomal RNA". The stretch from base 1 to 120 matches the Rfam family "5.8S ribosomal RNA", at positions 35 to 154 of the family's 154-position model. The record is from RNAcentral.